RNAcentral lists this ribosomal RNA (253 nucleotides) under uncultured bacterium. RNAcentral's name for it is "partial 16S ribosomal RNA". It matches the Rfam family "Bacterial small subunit ribosomal RNA", at positions 524 to 776 of the family's 1533-position model. The record is from RNAcentral.
UACGAAGGGGGCUAGCGUUGUUCGGAAUCACUGGGCGUAAAGCGCACGCAGGCGGAUUGAUAAGUCAGGGGUGAAAUCCCGGAGCUCAACUUCGGAAUUGCCUUUGAUACUGUCUAUCUUGAGUCCGGGAGAGGUGAGUGGAAUUCCUAGUGUAGAGGUGAAAUUCGUAGAUAUUAGGAAGAACACCAGUGGCGAAGGCGGCUCACUGGCCCGGUACUGACGCUCAUGUGCGAAAGCGUGGGGAGCAAACAGG